This 84-nucleotide transfer RNA is filed under the name Caulobacter sp. RNAcentral describes it as "tRNA-Leu". It matches the Rfam family "tRNA". Rfam says of the family: Transfer RNA (tRNA) molecules are approximately 80 nucleotides in length. Their secondary structure includes four short double-helical elements and three loops (D, anti-codon, and T loops). RNAcentral also lists the same sequence under 1 other name. Lineage: Bacteria; Pseudomonadati; Pseudomonadota; Alphaproteobacteria; Caulobacterales; Caulobacteraceae. The record is from RNAcentral.
GGGGACGUGGCGGAAUGGUAGACGCAGCGGCCUUAAAAGCCGCAGCCGCAAGGCGUGUGGGUUCGAGUCCCACCGUCCCUACCA